Molecule: long non-coding RNA, 1124 nt
Filed under: Citrus sinensis (sweet orange)
Lineage: Eukaryota; Viridiplantae; Streptophyta; Magnoliopsida; Sapindales; Rutaceae
Description: long non-coding RNA (CSIN_LNC005401)
Source: RNAcentral
GGGGGUUAAGUGCAAAGAUUCUGUUGACCUAGGGCUGACUGCAUAAUGUCACUUGUUCGCAAUCUAUUAUUUAUUUUAUAUUUUGAAGAAUUUAAUGGGUAAUCCUAAUUGUUUGUUUUGGCAGGUAUGUGUUGUUAUCUCCUUCUAUCUAACAGUCGUACCUAAAUAGCAUAGUUUCAUCUGUGUUACCAUGUGAUGUACAUAAUUUCACAUUUGCCUCAGAUUAAGCUUAAUUUCCCACAGAAUAGAGCUGUCGCGACUGGACUUUUUGAUGUCCAAAGAGGUAAAUUAUUGGCAUGCCUAGAUAAUUUGGCCAUUUCCUAAUUCAUAAGUCUACAUUAAUUUUGAUUUUGAGUUGACUGAUUUCUUUUCAAGGUCUGCUUCCUUAACGGAGUGACCAAUGUUUUUCAACUAAAUUUAUCAUAUGAUGCAGGAAGCAGGGCAGGAUAUGAAAUGAGAUCUCAUUGGUGGAAGUAUUGCCAGUAGCAGAACCCAAUGAAAAUGAAACUAUUUCAAGGCAGCAGUUGGCAGUUGCAAGUGAAUGGAGGCCCUUGACAAAAUUCUCAAGCGGUUGCAAUGUCUAUUAUUUAUUUUAUAUUUUGAAGAAUUUAAUGGGUAAUCCUAAUUGUUUGUUUUGGCAGGUAUGUGUUGUUAUCUCCUUCUAACUUACUGUCAUACCUAAAUAGCAUAGUUUCAUCUAUGUUACCAUGUGAUGUACAGAAUUUCACAUUUACCUCAGAUGAAGCUUAAUUUCCAGCAGAAUAAAGCUGUCGCGACUGGACUUAGGUUGAUGUCCAAAGAGGUAAAUUAUUGGCAUGCCUAGAUAAUUUGGCCAUUUCCUAAUUCAUAAGUCUACAUUAAUUUUGAUUUUGAGUUGACUGAUUUCUUUUCAAGGUCUGCUUCCUUAAUGGAGUGACCAAUGUUUUUCAACUAAAUUUAUCAUAUGAUGCAAGAAGCAGGGCGGGAUAUGAAAUGAGAAGCUCAUUGGUGGAAGUAUUGCCAGUAACUGAACCCAAAGAAAAUGAAACUAUUUCAAGGCAGCAGUUGGCAGUUGCAAGUGAAUGGAGGCCCUUGACAAAAUUCUCAAGCCGUUGCAAUGCAAUUACGAUCACCCUCAGCCUCAG